AACGAACGCUGGCGGCAGGCCUAACACAUGCAAGUCGAGCGCGCCCUUCGGGGUGAGCGGCGGACGGGUGAGUAACGCGUGGGAACGUGCCCUUUUCUACGGAAUAGCCUCGGGAAACUGAGAGUAAUACCGUAUACGCCCUUUGGGGGAAAGAUUUAUCGGAAAAGGAUCGGCCCGCGUUGGAUUAGGUAGUUGGUGGGGUAAUGGCCUACCAAGCCGACGAUCCAUAGCUGGUUUGAGAGGAUGAUCAGCCACACUGGGACUGAGACACGGCCCAGACUCCUACGGGAGGCAGCAGUGGGGAAUCUUAGACAAUGGGGGCAACCCUGAUCUAGCCAUGCCGCGUGAGUGAUGAAGGCCUUAGGGUUGUAAAGCUCUUUCAGCUGGGAAGAUAAUGACAGUACCAGCAGAAGAAGCCCCGGCUAACUCCGUG
Molecule: ribosomal RNA, 433 nt
Filed under: uncultured bacterium
Lineage: Bacteria
Description: partial 16S ribosomal RNA
Rfam family: Bacterial small subunit ribosomal RNA
Source: RNAcentral